This 255-nucleotide long non-coding RNA is filed under the name Brassica napus (rape). Its description in RNAcentral is "long non-coding RNA (BNAP_LNC025634)". The record is from RNAcentral. Lineage: Eukaryota; Viridiplantae; Streptophyta; Magnoliopsida; Brassicales; Brassicaceae.
ACCAUGUUGGUGAGGCUUGAGCAGAUAAGGUUUCUGGCUCGAGUAUCCUUUUCUUUAGCCAGAGGAUCUACUUUAACUUCCUUAUCAGUGACAUCGUCACUAUCAUCUGUAGUUUCUACUUUCAUAGAACUAGCUGCUUCAGUCAAGAUGUGUCCCAGCCCUUGCAGCUCCAGCUGCAUUUGCAUCUUAAACUUCCACAUACCGAAGUCACCAGAUCCAUCAAACUUCUCCAUCUCAAACUUCCCGUGGACCGAU